CGUAUAACGAGUUGUUCAUUGUGAAAUAUGUAUUCAGAAGUAGUUAUGUUGGACCCUAUAUAGAGAGAAAUAUAUGCAUAUUCGUUUUUAUUUAAUUUUUCCAACGUAUGUUGGUAAUAUCUAUAUGCAAAGAAUAAGUGUAUGAAGAGAAAUGGUCUUUAGACGAAUCUUUAGAUUAAUUUUACCUAGUACACGAUCGAUACGUCUAAUAAUCACGUUUAUACCGUCUGAAAAUUUUCCAAAAAUUAAACUCGAUUACUUCCUCGUAAAAAGCACAUUUAUUUUUACUC
Molecule: unclassified non-coding RNA, 290 nt
Filed under: Bombus terrestris (buff-tailed bumblebee)
Lineage: Eukaryota; Metazoa; Arthropoda; Insecta; Hymenoptera; Apidae
Description: misc RNA ENSBTSG00005030126.1
Source: RNAcentral